UAGGGAAUCUUCCGCAAUGGGCGAAAGCCUGACGGAGCAACGCCGCGUGAGUGAUGAAGGUCUUCGGAUCGUAAAACUCUGUUAUUAGGGAAGAACAAAUGUGUAAGUAACUAUGCACGUCUUGACGGUACCUAAUCAGAAAGCCACGGCUAACUACGUGCCAGCAGCCGCGGUAAUACGUAGGUGGCAAGCGUUAUCCGGAAUUAUUGGGCGUAAAGCGCGCGUAGGCGGUUUUUUAAGUCUGAUGGGAAAGCCCACGGCUCAACCGUGGAGGGUCAUUGGAAACUGGAAAACUGGAGUGCAGAAGAGGAAAGUGGAAUUCCAUGUGUAGCGGUGAAAUGCGCAGAGAUAUGGAGGAACACCAGUGGCGAAGGCGACUUUCUGGUCUGUAACUGACGCUGAUGUGCGAGAGCGUGGGGAUCAAACAGG
Molecule: ribosomal RNA, 429 nt
Filed under: Actinomycetes bacterium
Lineage: Bacteria; Bacillati; Actinomycetota; Actinomycetes
Description: Actinobacteria bacterium partial 16S ribosomal RNA
Rfam family: Bacterial small subunit ribosomal RNA
Source: RNAcentral